GAUGAACGCUGGCGGCGUGCCUAAUACAUGCAAGUCGAGCGAACCACUUCGGUGGUGAGCGGCGAACGGGUGAGUAACACGUAGGUGAUCUGCCCAUCAGACGGGGACAACGAUUGGAAACGAUCGCUAAUACCGGAUAGGACGAAAGUUUAAAGGUGCUUCUGGCACCGCUGAUGGAUGAGCCUGCGGCGCAUUAGCUAGUUGGUAGGGUAAAGGCCUACCAAGGCGACGAUGCGUAGCCGACCUGAGAGGGUGAACGGCCACACUGGGACUGAGACACGGCCCAGACUCCUACGGAGGCAGCAGUAGGGAAUCUUCGGCAAUGGGCGAAAGCCUGACCGAGCAACGCCGCGUGAAUGAUGAAGGCCUUCGGGUUGUAAAAUUCUGUUAUAAGGGAAGAACGACUUUAGUAGGAAAUGGCUAGAGUGUAACGGUACCUUAUGAGAAAGCCACGGCUAACUACGUGCCAGCCGCCGCGGUAA
This 482-nucleotide ribosomal RNA is filed under the name uncultured bacterium. RNAcentral describes it as "partial 16S ribosomal RNA". It matches the Rfam family "Bacterial small subunit ribosomal RNA", at positions 28 to 523 of the family's 1533-position model. The record is from RNAcentral.